UUGCUGGAAUAUUGCUAAAAGCGACGUAAAACUGAACUCACUAACUGACUCACCCUGUACUCUGAUGUGUUCAUUUACGAGCCACUAUCGGGUUAGUGCAUUCAUAACCAAGUUAGCGGACCUGACCCAGUGAUCCAUAACGUCGCUUCUUAUACAACGAGCACUGGUUGUAGGAGACACUUUCUAGCUCGAGUGACAUCGUGGUCGUGUUGCUUAUAUACAGCAGAUAUAUGUGUGGAACGUUUAAGCCACAGAUACUCACACAAACCAAGGUUUUUUUUAAAAACAAAUGUUUUAUUUAAUGUGGCCUGACAAUGAAUGUUCAUGGGUCCAGGGAUACAGUCUCGGUCCCACGGGGCACUGGCUGAGAAUGGUUCCCAGGAAUCAACGCUGGUCGUAAGAGGCAGGUCAAUUCAUACUGUGAUCAUGGUCCGGUGACUGGUCUUAAAGUCUUCUAUUUUCUAUAUUAUCUUUAAAUUUAUUAAUGUCGAAUACAGCAAGGGUACAGUGGCGAUACGGCAAUACAGUAUUGUAUCGCGUCACGAAGCACACGGCACAAUACAUCGAUUUACAACACUUGUAUCGCAAUACAUCCAAUACAUUACACAGCAAAUUAUAUUGAUGUAGAAACAUGGGAACAGUAUCAGAAGCUGUUCAAGAACCAGUCUAUGCCGAUUCUCUAGUACUUCCUGGUUGGCUAUUAAUAGCAAAUCUUCAUACUGACCCAGGCUUAUACGUAUAUCCAUCCCUUCAAUACCCCAUCUUCGCUGUCUUAGAUUUAAAAUCAAAUGAAUCAGGACUGUGAGUAUACCUGCAGAAAGGUUGAUAAUAUGACUAUUUGAAAUAUAUCGUUGGGUUCUUCAUACGACUAGUAGCAAAGAUAAAGAUAGAACUGAAACAUGUUUGAGGAAAAUUCGUGUUUGUGUCAUUAUUAUGUGGGAUUCUUGUAUAUACCUAUAUAUACUCAACAAAACGUUAAGGACCACCCCAAUAUUCAAUAUUUAAGUAUUAUAUGGAUCAUAACAUGAACUAUUUAAUACUUUAUAUUGAAAAUUGGGGUGGUCCUUAACUUUCUUUGCUGAGUAUAUAUAAAUCUAUUGCUACCUGAUUCAGAACAAAUGUUUGAUCUGUAUGAUCAUCAAACUACUUGAAGCGUCAUGAUAUCUCCUUCUUUGCACCUGUCACCGAAUGGUGAAAUCUGGCUAAGCGAGUCUGCUUGAUGACGCUAAAAUAGGGUAAGUGUACCAAAAUCGAGCAGACGCUGUUAGUGUCUCGUCGACGGCCGCAUCGUUAUCGGAAGGACAGGUAUUUUCAGACGGUGCGCAGUAUUAAUUAUCAGGUGUCAGUUUACAAUAAUUAUUUAGAUGGUGCAUCAUGUAUUAUCAGGUGUAAAAACAAUGUCAGUUUUAGCAGACCCCCACGGUCACCGAACAGGAUAUGGUAAUCUGUUUGGCUCGAUACGACAUUUAAAGAUAACGUUAUACCGAGGAUAUUUCGUGUGUUUCUAAUGCUGUUGUGUAGCACAGUGCAUUUCCUCAUCACGCUGAAGUACACAUGUCAUCACGAUGUGGAGGGAAUCCCUAAUAGAACUUAUGUUAUAGGUUAUGUAAUAGGUUAUGACGGCCCGGUUUAUACAGAUAUGGUCUGGAUUUAUGACGUUGUGGAUUUCAUUUCAUUCACGAUAUGACCAGGUUUGACAAAGGUAAUCACAGAAAUGUCUGUCAAAGAGCCCUGAACCAAAACAAAUGACAACAGCUAUAUUGUAUAAAGUAUAAAAUGUACAAAUAUCUCUAUGUAA
Long non-coding RNA from Haliotis rubra (blacklip abalone), 1798 nucleotides. RefSeq lists it as uncharacterized. The record is from RefSeq and is a predicted model, not a curated record. The transcript is spliced from 2 exons. Lineage: Eukaryota; Metazoa; Mollusca; Gastropoda; Lepetellida; Haliotidae.